GAUAAUCCACGAUUAACUUUACUUCUUUUACAAGUUUAUAUAUCGUCCCCGGCUGAAUAUCUUAUCAGGGAUUUAAUAUUCAUGAUUUUUAAUUAUAAAGAAAAUCAGAUCAAGGUGUAGCUUAUAUUUAAGUAGAGAUGGGUUACAAUAAAUUUAUUUAUAUGGUUAUAAUAUUUAAAAUUAUUAUAUAAAGUGGAUUUGAAAGUAAUAUAUUUAAUUUAAAAUAUAUGAUUUUAGCUCUAAAACAUGUACAUACCCCCCGCCCCCUUCAUUGAAAUUAAAGUGAAAUAAGUCGUAACAAAGUAGGCUUACUGGAAAGGGUGCCUAGAUAGACAAAUUAGAGCUUGUUAAAAAGUUUUUUAUUUACAUUAAAAGGUUAAUUGUGUAAAUCAAUUUAAUUUGAAUUGAAAUAUUUAUUAUUAUUUAAUUUUUAUAGGUUAAUUUUAAUUAAAUUAUUAUUUUUUUUUUAUAGUUAUAGAUAAAAUUUUUAUUAUUAUAGUUGAUUAAGUAUAGUGAUAGAAUAUUAAAAUAGUUUGAAAUAUUUAAAAUAUUUAAAAGAAAAUUUUAAUUAUUGUACCUUGUGUAUCAGGGUUUAUUAAAUAAAAAUUAUAAAUUUAAUUUUCUCGAAUUUAAAAGAGCUAAAAAAUUACAUAUUUUAUUGUGAAAAAACUAUUUAUAAUAAUUUCUUAGUAAUGAAAUGUUAGUCGUUCUUAAAUUUAUCUAGUUUUUUAAGAAAUAAAUUUAAUUUAGUUAAUUAUUAAAAUUGAAAUUCAAAUAAUUUUUAUAUUUAAACUUCAAUAAUCAAUUAAUAUUUUAAGGGAUAAGCCUUAAAAUAUAAGUUAAUAAAUAUUUAUAGUAAUUAUAAAAUUUAUAGAAGUGAAAGUAUUAAUUUAUUUUAGUGUUUUAUAACCAGUUUUAUUUUAUUUUAUGAUUUAUAUAUAAUUUUUAAUUUUUUAUUAAAAUGAUUAAUUUAAUUGUAUAAUUACUGUAUUAAUGAUAAAAUUAGUAUAAAUUCAUGUUUUUUAAAAUUAAUUUAAUAUAGGUUAGACUAAGGAAUUCGGCCAAUUUAUUUUUCCCCCGUUUAUUAAAAACCUGUCUUUUUGAUUAUAAUUUAAAGUCUGACCCCCCCCAUGAUUAAAAUUAAAUGGCCCCGAUAUUUUGAUCCUCCCAAGGUAGCAUAAUCCUUAGUUUCUUAAUUAGGAACCGGAAUGAAAGGUUGCCCCAGAAAAUAACCGUCCCCAUUUAAUUUAAUUAGAAUUUUAUUUUUAAGUUAAAAAGCUUAAAUAAUUUUAAAAGACGAGAAGCCCCCCUAGAGUUUAAUCUUAAAAUU
RNAcentral lists this ribosomal RNA (1330 nucleotides) under Euoniticellus sp. NLG-2014. RNAcentral's name for it is "partial 16S ribosomal RNA". The record is from RNAcentral. Lineage: Eukaryota; Metazoa; Arthropoda; Insecta; Coleoptera; Scarabaeidae.